UAGUAAGAAGCAAAAUUUGCAUUUAGUUUCGACCUAAAAUCUUGAUAUUUAAAAUCCUUACUAA
This 64-nucleotide transfer RNA is filed under the name Tomicus yunnanensis. RNAcentral's name for it is "tRNA-Arg". Lineage: Eukaryota; Metazoa; Arthropoda; Insecta; Coleoptera; Curculionidae. The record is from RNAcentral.